This 181-nucleotide non-coding RNA is filed under the name uncultured delta proteobacterium. RNAcentral describes it as "6S". It matches the Rfam family "6S / SsrS RNA". Rfam says of the family: E. coli 6S RNA was the first non coding RNA to be sequenced, but its function was unknown until recently. It consists of 184 nucleotides that fold into an extended hairpin structure with a large single-stranded internal bulge. Lineage: Bacteria; Deltaproteobacteria. The record is from RNAcentral.
ACCUCCCUGGAACGCACGUGAUGCUUCGUUCACUGCAGGCCUCACAAGCAUCAGAAUAGGGGAACAAUCUCCGGACCGGUGUGCACGCCCGUUUUACGGGAAGCCUGAUGGGCCGGAAGCGUUUUCCACCGUAGGUCUUAGGCCCUGCGGAGAACAACGCACACGACGUUCUGGGGCGCAA